UACGUAGGGGGCAAGCGUUGUUCGGAAUCACUGGGCGUAAAGGGAGCGUAGGCGGAAUGGUAAGUUAGAAGUGAAAUGCAUGGGCUUAACCCGUGACCCGCUUCUAAUACUGCCUUUCUUGAGUAUGGGAGAGGGUGAUGGAAUUCCAGGUGUAGCGGUGGAAUGCGUAGAUAUCUGGAAGAACACCAGUUGCGAAGGCGGUCACCUGGCCCAAUACUGACGCUGAGGCUCGAAAGCUAGGGGAGCGAACAGGAUUAGAUACCCGUGUA
RNAcentral lists this ribosomal RNA (269 nucleotides) under uncultured prokaryote. RNAcentral's name for it is "partial 16S ribosomal RNA". It matches the Rfam family "Bacterial small subunit ribosomal RNA", at positions 524 to 792 of the family's 1533-position model. The record is from RNAcentral.